GCAGAGGUUACCGAGUUAGGACAAAGGCGCUAGAUUAAGGGUCUAGUCUCGAAGGAGUUCGCGGGUUCAAAUCCCGUCCUCUGCA
Molecule: transfer RNA, 85 nt
Filed under: Ferroplasma acidiphilum
Lineage: Archaea; Methanobacteriati; Thermoplasmatota; Thermoplasmata; Thermoplasmatales; Ferroplasmaceae
Also listed under: 4 other names
Description: tRNA-Leu
Rfam family: tRNA
About the family: Transfer RNA (tRNA) molecules are approximately 80 nucleotides in length. Their secondary structure includes four short double-helical elements and three loops (D, anti-codon, and T loops).
Source: RNAcentral